GCGAAUGGCUCAUUAAAUCAGUUAUCGUUUAUUUGAUAGUACCUUACUACUUGGAUAACCGUGGUAAUUCUAGAGCUAAUACAUGCUGAAAACCCCAACUUCGGGAGGGGUGUAUUUAUUAGAUAAAAAACCAACGCCCUUCGGGGCUUCUUGGUGAUUCAUGAUAACUUUACGGAUCGCAUGGCCUUGCGCCGGCGACGGUUCAUUCAAAUUUCUGCCCUAUCAACUUUCGAUGGUAAGGUAUUGGCUUACCAUGGUUUCAACGGGUAACGGGGAAUUAGGGUUCGAUUCCGGAGAGGGAGCCUGAGAAACGGCUACCACAUCCAAGGAAGGCAGCAGGCGCGCAAAUUACCCAAUCCCGACACGGGGAGGUAGUGACAAUAAAUACUGAUACAGGGCUCUUUUGGGUCUUGUAAUUGGAAUGAGUACAAUUUAAACCUCUUAACGAGGAACAAUUGGAGGGCAAGUCUGGUGCCAGCAGCCGCGGUAAUUCCAGCUCCAAUAGCGUAUAUUAAAGUUGUUGCAGUUAAAAAGCUCGUAGUUGAACCUUGGGUCUGGCUGGCAGGUCCGCCUCACCGCGUGUACUUGUCCGGCCGGGCCUUCCUUCUGGAGAACCUCAUGCCCUUCACUGGGCGUGUUGGGGACCAGGACUUUUACUUUGAAAAAAUUAGAGUGUUCAAAGCAGGCCUUUGCUCGAAUACGUUAGCAUGGAAAUAAUAGAAUAGGACGUGCGGUCCUAUUUUGUUGGUUUCUAGGACCGCCGUAAUGAUUAAUAGGGACAGUCGGGGGCAUCAGUAUUCAAUUGUCAGAGGUGAAAUUCUUGGAUUUAUUGAAGACUAACUACUGCGAAAGCAUUUGCCAAGGAUGUUUUUCAUAUCAGUGAACGAAAGUUAGGGAUCGAAGACGAUCAGAUACGUCGUAGUCUACGUAAACUAUGCGACUAG
Molecule: ribosomal RNA, 944 nt
Filed under: Phaeosphaeriopsis beaucarneae
Lineage: Eukaryota; Fungi; Ascomycota; Dothideomycetes; Pleosporales; Phaeosphaeriaceae
Description: SSU rRNA
Rfam family: Eukaryotic small subunit ribosomal RNA
Source: RNAcentral